Long non-coding RNA from Anguilla rostrata (American eel), 1967 nucleotides. RefSeq lists it as uncharacterized. The record is from RefSeq and is a predicted model, not a curated record. NCBI's taxonomy places the organism in Eukaryota, Metazoa, Chordata, Actinopteri, Anguilliformes, Anguillidae. The transcript has 3 exons.
AUGGAUAUGCGAAUUAAUAACUGCACAAUUAAUUCGCAAGGCAUGGAUCAGCUGAGAUAAUUGUACAGACGAGGCUUAAAUGUGAGCUGCUUUUCACUCAUUACUCACGCUGAACUCCGCCUGUCGAUUAAUCUCGGCAUCUGGUCUCCCACUCGCAAAACGGGGCGCAAGGGCACGAGCACUGUUAAAGGAGUGAGCGCACCUAUUGUGUUUAGCGAGGAGGGGUGUAAAGUUUGCUUGUUUAACUAAUUGCCCUGUGGGAAUUUGAAUGUGGUUUGUCCCUCCACUUUGGCGGGAGGCUGAAGAGUAUAAAAGCCAAUCUGUGCAGGACAGCGAGGGGGAUCGGUCUAUAUAACGGCGGUGAGUUACUGCUGUCAGCGAGUUACAUGGAAAUAGACUAAGUCCAGUCUGGACACUUUGUAAAUAUUUAUUAUUUUGUUUAGCCAAAGUCUUUAUUUCACUGUAAAUAUUGCAUCAUUAUAGCACCAGCGGCUGGAAGAAAAAAAAAUCUGUUCUACUGAAAUCCUGCCUCCUGGGCCUUCCUACCACCUACCUUGACUGUUUUGAUCUGUCCCGAAACCACUGCACUCCAAUAUCACUCUGGGGUCUUUUCCAGGACCUUUAAUUGUGGCCAGAAAUUUAAGAUUCUUCCACUGGGCACUAUUUUAGGGGCAACCUGAAGAUAAAGGCAGAAGGACAAAGACUAUGUGACCCCUUCAGUGGUGCUGUACAGCCUGUUCUCGCACUUGCUUAUUUGGAAGUAACCCUUAUGAACCACACCAUUUCCCUCUUGCAUAUACCUGCUGUGCAGAACAUAAAUACCUUGGCAGUGUCUUGUUCUAGAGCCAACACAGUUAGCAGAUGUCUGCUAAAAGAGUGAUGCAAGAUAUGCGGUCCCAAAUUGGACACAUGGGCAUGCUGGGAAAAAAAGGAUGCUUUAUGAAAGUGCAAAAUCUGUAAGUAUAUUGCCACUAUACUGUGCAGAGUGCCUACACUAAGAGAAUGAAUUAGGCUCUUUGAGGUUUGACUCAUAAGCAAUCUGCGCAAUGGUGAGUACUGGUUGUUUGAAGUCCAGCAGACACAUACAGGGCUGUAGCAGCUGUCAAAGCUCUGCUGAUACACUUUGAUGGAAAACAUCAAAAAUGCUAGCAUUACAGCUGAUCAAUAUAAUUUCCAGUCUUUCGAGGCGUUUAGCAAAUGCAAACAUCUCGCCUCAAACAUAGUUGUUUGUGAUUUGUAUACAUAAGUAAAAAUAAGAAAUAAGAGCUGGCCUUUCCACAAGGGUUUGGCAUAAAGUAGCAUUAGAAGACAGACUUCUGUUGUUUACUAUUCUAUCAGAGUGCAAUGCUGUGUGAUAAUGAAGCUCUGGGCCUGACCAAGAGUACUGUGACCUCACACCAGGCGCUACAGUAGAACACUUCCAAAUUCCUUUAUAAUGACCCUUUAUAAUCACCUUCAGUAAAACAAAUAAAAGGCGAGCAAGACCUUUUAUGGUCUAAAUGGGUGACACUAUUUGAUGUUAAGCCAAAAAAAAAAAAAACAAUGACACAGAAUCAAGUUAAAUUUAAACAAAAUUUUGUCUGUUUAAAUGUGUUGCCCCAAGUGAAGGCCAAUCUACCCUGCAAGACUUAAACAUCAAAGUAGCACUGAGACUGAAUUACUUGUUGACAGAGAUUUUGAGGCCUGCACAAUCCUGCAGUUGCUUUUUUUUUCCACACCGACAUAAAUCAUAUUAAAAAUAUCAAACACAGGAAAAACUGGAAGUUCCAGAUAAUACAAUUAAGCAUGACAAAGCAAGCUGGGAGAAAAGACAACCUCUUGAGAGGCAAACAUGUCCGCACCAAGAGCUUAAGAAAUAGGAAUGCAAGGACAGUUUCUGACUUGCUCUGACUCCAGAAAAAUACCAGCACUGGACAGUGCUUCUUAUCUGAUGAAAAACAGGUUUUCAACAUAUAAAAAUGUUGCAC